UGGGGGAUAUUGCGCAAUGGGGGAAACCCUGACGCAGCAACGCCGCGUGAAGGAAGAAGGUCUUCGGAUUGUAAACUUUUGUCUUGUGGGACGAUAAUGACGGUACCACAGGAGGAAGCCACGGCUAACUACGUGCCAGCAGCCGCGGUAAUACGUAGGUGGCGAGCGUUGUCCGGAAUUACUGGGUGUAAAGGGUGCGUAGGCGGGUAUGCAAGUCAGAUGUGAAAUACCACAGCUUAACUGUGGGGCUGCAUUUGAAACUGUAUAUCUUGAGUGGUGGAGAGGUAAGCGGAAUUCCCAGUGUAGCGGUGAAAUGCGUAGAUAUUGGGAGGAACACCAGUGGCGAAGGCGGCUUACUGGACACUAACUGACGCUGAUGCACGAAAGCGUGGGGAGCAAACAGG
RNAcentral lists this ribosomal RNA (404 nucleotides) under uncultured bacterium. Its description in RNAcentral is "bacterial SSU rRNA". It matches the Rfam family "Bacterial small subunit ribosomal RNA", at positions 355 to 776 of the family's 1533-position model. The record is from RNAcentral.